RNAcentral lists this ribosomal RNA (498 nucleotides) under Bacillus sp. enrichment culture clone CBMAI_971. RNAcentral's name for it is "bacterial SSU rRNA". It matches the Rfam family "Bacterial small subunit ribosomal RNA", at positions 712 to 1210 of the family's 1533-position model. The record is from RNAcentral. Lineage: Bacteria; Bacillati; Bacillota; Bacilli; Caryophanales; Bacillaceae.
GUGGCGAAGGCGACUCUCUGGUCUGUAACUGACGCUGAGGAGCGAAAGCGUGGGGAGCGAACAGGAUUAGAUACCCUGGUAGUCCACGCCGUAAACGAUGAGUGCUAAGUGUUAGGGGGUUUCCGCCCCUUAGUGCUGCAGCUAACGCAUUAAGCACUCCGCCUGGGGAGUACGGUCGCAAGACUGAAACUCAAAGGAAUUGACGGGGGCCCGCACAAGCGGUGGAGCAUGUGGUUUAAUUCGAAGCAACGCGAAGAACCUUACCAGGUCUUGACAUCCUCUGACAACCCUAGAGAUAGGGCUUUCCCUUCGGGGACAGAGUGACAGGUGGUGCAUGGUUGCCGUCAGCUCGUGUCGUGAGAUGUUGGGUUCAGUCCCGCAACGAGCGCAACCCUUGAUCUUAGUUGCCAGCAUUCAGUUGGGCACUCUAAGGUGACUGCCGGUGACAAACCGGAGGAAGGUGGGGAUGACGUCAAAUCAUCAUGCCCCUUAUGACCU